Molecule: ribosomal RNA, 497 nt
Filed under: uncultured bacterium
Lineage: Bacteria
Description: partial 16S ribosomal RNA
Rfam family: Bacterial small subunit ribosomal RNA
Source: RNAcentral
GAUGAACGCUGGCGGCGUGCCUAACACAUGCAAGUCGAGCGAACAGACCCGGAGCUUGCUCCUCUGUCGUUUGCGGCGGACGGGUGAGUAACACGUGGAUAACCUCCCUAUAAGUCUGGGAUAACUUCGGGAAACCGGCGCUAAUACCGGAUAAUAUAUUGAACCACAUUGUUCAAUAGUGAAAGACGGUUUUUGUGUCUCUUAUAGAUGGAUCCCCGCCGCAUUAGCUAGUUGGUAAGGUAAAGGCUUACCAAGGCAACGAGGCGUAGCCGACCUGAGAGGGUGAUCGGCCACACUGGAACUGAGACACGGUCCAGACUCCUACGGGAGGCAGCAGUAGGGAAUCUUCCGCAAUGGGCGAAAGCCUGACGGAGCAACGCCGCGUGAGUGAUGAAGGUCUUCGGAUCGUAAAACUCUGUUAUUAGGGAAGAACAAAUGUGUAAGUAACUAUGCACGUCUUGACGGUACCUAAUCAGAAAGCCACGGCUAACUACGUG